AACUGCGACCCCAGGUCAGGGCGG
Molecule: ribosomal RNA, 24 nt
Filed under: Erica sp. 'David Small'
Lineage: Eukaryota; Viridiplantae; Streptophyta; Magnoliopsida; Ericales; Ericaceae
Description: partial 28S ribosomal RNA
Source: RNAcentral